RNAcentral lists this ribosomal RNA (381 nucleotides) under Spongiocaris japonica. RNAcentral's name for it is "partial 16S ribosomal RNA". The stretch from base 257 to 381 matches the Rfam family "Bacterial large subunit ribosomal RNA", at positions 2473 to 2598 of the family's 2925-position model. Lineage: Eukaryota; Metazoa; Arthropoda; Malacostraca; Decapoda; Spongicolidae. The record is from RNAcentral.
CUGUCUUAUAUAUAUUAUAUUGAAUUUGACUUUUAAGUGAAAAGGCUUAAAUAAAAUAAAGGGAAGAUAAGACCCUAUAAAACUUAAUAUAAUUUAUAUUAUUUUUUAAAAUUAUUAGUUUAUUAUAUAAAAUAAUAUAAUAUUAUUUUAUUGGGGCGAUAGGAAUAUAAAAUAUUAACUGUUCUUUUUUAUUAAUCAAUUAAUAAUUGAUUAAAUGGAUCCUUUUUUAAAGAUUAAAAGUUAAAGUUACUUUAGGGAUAACAGCGUAAUUUUUUUUAAGAGUUCUUAUCGAUAAAAAAGAUUGCGACCUCGAUGUUGAAUUAAAAUUUCUUUAUAAUGUAGCAGUUAUAUGAGAAGGUCUGUUCGACCUUUAAAUUUUUA